CGGCGAGUGAACAGGGAGGAGCCCAGCACCGAAGCCUGUGGCCGCUUGGUCUCUAGGCAGUGUGGUGUUUAGGUUUACUUAUGGGGACACUGCUCCACUUCAAGUCCAAUAAUGAGUACGGUGGUACGGACAUGGCCCAGAGAGGGUGAAAGGCCCGUGGGGGUGGAGUUCAGAUGUGCCAGUGUCUCCCUGAGCAAACCUUGGAGUCGGGUUGUUUGUGAAUGCAGCCCAAAGUGGGUGGUAAACUCCAUCCAAGGCUAAAUACCGACACGAGUCCGAUAGCAAACAAGUACCGUGAGGGAAAGUUGAAAAGUACUUUGAAGAGAGAGUAAACAGUGCGUGAAACCGCUCAGAGGUAAACGGGUGGAGUUGAACUGCAAGCUCUGGGGAUUCAGCUGGUGARUGUGACAUGGGCUUGGUCAUGUUGGUCGCCCCUCUAGGUCCGCUUAGUUGUGGGCCCUCGCUCUUGGGUGAGGGUGCACGAUGCGCUUGUCAAGCGCUGUGCGCCUAGCGGGUUGUCCGGGUCGACUUGCCAGUGCACUUUCCCAGGGUGGUCCACCACGACCGGCGAUUCUGCCAGUCCGCUGUGGUCCAAAUCGGCCUCGCACUGUCCUGCGGCAUUGGAGGUUGAAGAUGGCAGGUAGCCUGUUAGCUUGCGUGGCUUGACCUCGGUCGGCAUGCGCCUGGUUUGCAGGUCUAAUUAGCCGGCUUGCAGUGGCGCUUGUGCGGCACGUCGGAGACGGCGGCUUUUGGUGUGCAUGCGUACCUAGCUCGCCAGCGGUUGUGUCUGGUUACCGUGCCGCCUGUUGAAGCAGGCCCGGUAGCGGCUCGGCGUGGUAUGGCGAGCAGUGGCGUGUGUCACUUGUUGGGCCGAUGGUCGGUGGUGCAGUGGUAGGCUAUCCACCCGACCCGUCUUGAAACACGGACCAAGGAGAUUAACAUGUGCGCGAGUUAUUGGGCGUUACGAAACCCAGAGGCGCAGUGAAAGUGAAUGUUCGGCUUUGUUCGGACUGAGGUGAGAUCCUGUCGUUGCUCGCCCGUGGUACCCCCAGGCGUCCGAGCGGCAGGCGCAUCACCGGCCCGUCCCAUGGUGUAGACGUUGUAUGACGGCGCGACACCGGGGCGGAGCAUGAGCGCACACGUUGAGACCCGAAAGAUGGUGAACUAUGCUUGCGCAGGUUGAAGCCAGAGGAAACUCUGGUGGAGGACCGCAGCGAUUCUGACGUGCAAAUCGAUCGUCAAACGUGAGUAUAGGGGCG
Molecule: ribosomal RNA, 1259 nt
Filed under: Pachytrema calculus
Lineage: Eukaryota; Metazoa; Platyhelminthes; Trematoda; Opisthorchiida; Pachytrematidae
Description: eukaryotic LSU rRNA
Rfam family: Eukaryotic large subunit ribosomal RNA
Source: RNAcentral